GACGAACGCUGGCGGCGUGCUUAACACAUGCAAGUCGAACGGUAAGGCCCUUCGGGGUACACGAGUGGCGAACGGGUGAGUAACACGUGGGUGAUCUGCCCUGCACUUCGGGAUAAGCCUGGGAAACUGGGUCUAAUACCGGAUAGGACCCUGGGAUGCAUGUCCUGGGGUGGAAAGCUUUUGCGGUGUGGGAUGGGCCCGCGGCCUAUCGGCUUGUUGGUGGGGUGAUGGCCUACCAAGGCGACGACGGGUAGCCGGACUGAGAGGGUGGCCGGCCACACUGGGACUGAGAUACGGCCCAGACUCCUACGGGAGGCAGCAGUGGGGAAUAUUGCACAAUGGGCGCAAGCCUGAUGCAGCGACGCCGCGUGAGGGAUGACGGCCUUCGGGUUGUAAACCUCUUUCAGCACCGACGAAGCGCAAGUGACGGUAGGUGCAGAAGAAGGACCGGCCAACUACGUGCCAGCCGCCGCCGUAA
Molecule: ribosomal RNA, 478 nt
Filed under: uncultured bacterium
Lineage: Bacteria
Description: partial 16S ribosomal RNA
Rfam family: Bacterial small subunit ribosomal RNA
Source: RNAcentral